GACGAACGCUGGCGGCAUGCCUAAUACAUGCAAGUCGAGCGGAGUUGAUGAGAAGCUUGCUUCUCUGAUACUUAGCGGCGGACGGGUGAGUAACACGUAGGCAACCUGCCCUCAAGCUUGGGACAACUACCGGAAACGGUAGCUAAUACCGAAUUCUUGUUUUCUUCGCCUGAAGGAAACUGGAAAGACGGAGCAAUCUGUCACUUGGGGAUGGGCCUGCGGCGCAUCAGCUAGUUGGUGAGGUAACGGCUCACCAAGGCGACGAUGCGUAGCCGACCUGAGAGGGUGAUCGGCCACACUGGGACUGAGACACGGCCCAGACUCCUACGGGAGGCAGCAGUAGGGAAUCUUCCGCAAUGGGCGAAAGCCUGACGGAGCAAUGCCGCGUGAGUGAUGAAGGUUUUCGGAUCGUAAAGCUCUGUUGCCAGGGAAGAACGCUUGGGAGAGUAACUGCUCCCAAGGUGACGGUACCUGAGAAGAAAGCCCCGGCUAACUACGUGCCAGCCGCCGCGGUAA
This 516-nucleotide ribosomal RNA is filed under the name uncultured bacterium. RNAcentral's name for it is "partial 16S ribosomal RNA". It matches the Rfam family "Bacterial small subunit ribosomal RNA", at positions 28 to 523 of the family's 1533-position model. The record is from RNAcentral.